GUCAGGAUGGCCGAGUGGUUUAAGGUGCUGGACUCAAGCGUGAGAGGGCGUGGGUUCAAAUCCCACUUCUGACA
Molecule: non-coding RNA, 74 nt
Organism: Ipomoea nil (Japanese morning glory)
Lineage: Eukaryota; Viridiplantae; Streptophyta; Magnoliopsida; Solanales; Convolvulaceae
Source: the annotation of a RefSeq genome assembly